UUGUUCCAGAGUCCCAGAUAGAAGAGUGGCACCACAUUCAAGGCACCAUAUUCAGGGCGGUGAUGUCUUGCUAGCCCAUAUGUGAUGAUGUUACUGACAUAUUCACUUCGUUUCAGGGGCCAAUGGCCUUUGAGGAGAGAGAUCCUGGUGAUCUGAAACUGCGUAUCGUGGAUUUGCUGCUUGGCCAUCCACAGGGGGUCAACUUUGGAGACUUUUCUGGGGCUUUUUACCAGCUGCAUGGCUUCCACCCGCACAUCUACCUUUAUGGGUACAGUUCACUGCGGCAGUUGAUAGCUGACAUGAAAGACCUUGUGGUUGUGGAAUGUGGUUCACAGACACCAGUCAUGAAGUUAGUAAAUGGCUUAAAUCUUGACCGCUGGCUGGAAGGAGAGGAGAAUGGCCUGCAGAACCCACAAGAGGAAUCUCAGUGCUUGAUAAAUGGGGAGCAAGCAGAACAACUGUCAGUAGGUCUGGCUGACGUCUUGGCGGCCCUCUCCAACCUCCUAACUAACUACACAUCGGGCUUGAGGAUUACAAAGCUGCAGGAAUUCCUGCUGGCCAGGGAUGGCGUUGAUCUGGAGAAAUUCAGCAUUGGCCAAGGUUACAAGGACACGCUGGAGUUCUUGGAGACCCAGAUGCCGGAACUAAACAUCAAUUACCGGGAAGACCGAUCAAAUAGUGUUGUUAAGCUUCCUGCAGGAACCUCCAUCCCUGCUCAUGGUCCUGGAUUUUCUGAAUGCAACAGAGAUGUUGUGACACAGAAGCCAAUGGCAAAAAGUCCUGAUGCUUCUGCUUCUUCUGAUAUUCAGAACUCUGUGGAAGAACCACCAAGCCAGGCACCAGUUUUGUCUGACGUAGUGGAAAAAGUCACCAACCUCCUGGCCAAAUACAAGUUUGGCUUAAAGAUUAAGAAGCUUCAAGAAUUCCUGCUGGCUGGAGAUGGAAUUGAUCUGAAGAAAUUCAGCAUUAGCCAAGGUUACACGGACACACUGGAGUUUUUGGAGGCCCAGAUGCAGGAGCUAAUCAUCCAGUACCAGGAGGACCGGCUCAGUUGUGUUGUACAGCUUCUUGCAGAUAUUACGGCAGCAGUCACCAACCUCCUGGAUAAAUACGAAUUGGGCUUAAAGAUUAGGAAGGUCAAAAAACUCCUGCGGACUAGGGAUGGAAUAGAUCUGCAGAAAAUCAGCAUCAGCCAAGGUUACACGGACACACUGGAGUUCUUGGAGGCCAAGAUGCCGGAGCUAAACAUCCAGUACCAGGGGAAACGGCUCAAUUGUGUUGUACAGCUUCCUGCAGUAGAUCCGGUAGAUCCGGUAGAUCUGUCUGACAUCGUGACGGCAGUCACCAACCUCCUUGUCAAAUACAAGUCGGGCUUAAAGAUUAAGAAGAUCCAGGAAUUCCUGCUGGCUGAGGAUGGAAUUGAUCUGGAGAAAAUCAGCAUUAGCCGUGGCUAUAAAACCAUGUGGAAGUUCUUGAAGGCUCAGAUGCCGGAUCUUAUCCUCCAGCACCAGGGGAGCCUGCUCAAAUGUAUUGUACAGCUUCCUGCAGAUAGCUCUGUAACUUCUGCCACUUCCAGUAUCCAGAACUGUGUGGAAGGACCCACAGGCCGGCCACCAGGUAAGACAAUGUAAUCCUCUGAAUCAUGCUGCUCAUUUAUGACAUUCACAAAAGUCAUUGAGUGGCAUUCCUCACUUCCAGUCUGCAGAGCGGAGACUGAUCAGUUUUAAAUGCCAUUUGAAAACACGGCUAGAUAGGAAUGCAUGUCUUACUUUGCAUCUUUGAGUUUUUAUUAUCAUUUGUGGCCUAGAAGGCUAUCAUAUUAAGGAGUAAAUAACAUUAAAAAUCGUUUGGCAGGUAACUAAAUAAUUGGGGCUGGUUACAGAGAGGAGCCCCUUCAUUGAUUGCUGCCUUGUCAUGGCGAAGGGGCUUGAGUAAUUCAGAGAAGCUAUGGGCUAUGCCGUGCAGGAACGCCCAAGACAGACGGGUGAUAGUGGAGAGUUUGGACUGAACGCGAUCCAUCUGGAGCAGGAAUUGGCAAGCCACUGCCAAGAAAACCCCAUGAACAGAAACAAAAAGGCUAAAAGAUAUGAUGCUGGAAGAUGAGCCCCUCAAGCCGGAAGGCGUCCAGCAUGCUACUGAGGAAGAGCGGAGGACAAGUACAAGUAGCUCCAGAGCUAAUGAAGUGGUUGGGCCAAAGCUGAAAGGACGCUCAGCUGUGGACGCGCCUGGAAGUGAAAGGAAAAUCCGAUGCUGCAAAAGAAAAUACGGCAUAGGAACCUGGAAUGUAAGAUCUAUGAACCUUGGUAAGCUGAAUGUGGUCAAACAGGAGAUGGCAAGAAUAAACCUUGAUGUCCUUGGCA
Pogona vitticeps (central bearded dragon) is the source of this 2360-nucleotide long non-coding RNA. Lineage: Eukaryota; Metazoa; Chordata; Lepidosauria; Squamata; Agamidae. The record is from Ensembl.